ACUCGGCCCUCCCCGGCGGCCUCCAGGCGGGACGCGGCGUCGGCGCCUGAAGUUGGGGCUCCGUCCUGCCUCCCUGCGGGCCGGGAAAAGGGUCUCGCACGUGCGCCCCCCGCGGUCCGCGAUCCCCAGCCGUCGGCCUAGCCCCAGGCGGGUCGAUCCCGCUGUCCCCAGCCCCGGACCAGCCUCCUCCAGCUGCCGGGUGGAGAGGCUGGGGGGCUUUUCCCGAGGUCGGCGGCGAGGCUGAGAGCCCCGGCCCCGCCGCGCCCGAGGAGACAGCCCUUCGCGGGCUCUAAAGGCCCCGGGGCCUCCGGGAUGUUCCGGGGCCGAGUUGUGCCUGUUGCCGUUUCCGGCGCCCGGGGCCUCCGGGAUGUUCCGGGGCCGAGUUGUGCCUGUUGCCGUUUCCGGCGCCGCUGCCCUCGGGCACCGUCCCCUCUGGCCCUGCCUUGGUCUGGGAGGGGUCGCUAAGGGGGCGGAGGGCGCUCCUAGGGGGCCCUGCGGAUCUCCUGGCCUCGGCCCCCCCGGGUGGCCAGAGCGGGGCUCUGCACAAAGGCCUCAGGUAGCCGCGGCCUCGGUUCCGAGAAAGCCCCUCGCACUGACCGGGCCUCAGCUGACCCGGGCAGCCUACUGACCCGACCCUGACGCCCGGGCCCUCCAGGCCUGUCAGAGCCUCCAGGAAAGGAAAUGGGCUGCGGGGCGCAGCGAGGCUGGACAGCGGGCGCUGGCCCAGGACUCCCCUUGCCCAGAGGAGAAAAUGGAGGCUGAGCCUCCGGAGAGCCCAGCUCGAUGCCAGGAGCACUUUGCAGAGGGACACGGAUGGGGGCUGGCAGCACUUCACCCCUGUGCGGUAACGGAGUAACCGGAGCGCACUGAAGUCAGCAGCACCCCCACCCACCCACCAAGGCCACCGCCACCUCCCACCAUCCCGACCGUCCUUUGCUCCCUCAACCCUUGUUGCUGUGGGGCUUGGGGAUAUGUUGGAUUCUCACUGGCCCGGAACUUUGCUCCCCGAGGGCCGCCUGGCUGUAGAGCAGAACCCCCAAGUCCUGGAGAGAAGGGCAGAGGCCGGCCGACCAGGAGCUCUGCAGAGGAGCAAACUCUGGCCUGCGGACCCAGGGC
This 1116-nucleotide long non-coding RNA is filed under the name Homo sapiens (human). RNAcentral describes it as "non-protein coding lnc-BAHCC1-5:2". The record is from RNAcentral. Lineage: Eukaryota; Metazoa; Chordata; Mammalia; Primates; Hominidae.